RNAcentral lists this ribosomal RNA (468 nucleotides) under uncultured bacterium. Its description in RNAcentral is "partial 16S ribosomal RNA". It matches the Rfam family "Bacterial small subunit ribosomal RNA", at positions 28 to 507 of the family's 1533-position model. The record is from RNAcentral.
GACGAACGCUGGCGGCGUGCUUAACACAUGCAAGUCGAACGGAAAGGCCCUGCUUUUGUGGGGUGCUCGAGUGGCCAACGGGUGAGUAACACGUGAGUAACCUGCCCUUGACUUUGGGAUAACUUCAGGAAACUGGGGCUAAUACCGGAUAGGAGCUCCUGCUGCAUGGUGGGGGUUGGAAAGUUUCGGCGGGUGGGGAUGGACUCGCGGCUUAUCAGCUUGUUGGUGGGGUAGUGGCUUACCAAGGCUUUGACGGGUAGCCGGCCUGAGAGGGUGACCGGCCACAUUGGGACUGAGAUACGGCCCAGACUCCUACGGGAGGCAGCAGUGGGGAAUAUUGCACAAUGGGCGGAAGCCUGAUGCAGCAACGCCGCGUGCGGGAUGACGGCCUUCGGGUUGUAAACCGCUUUCGCCUGUGACGAAGCGUGAGUGACGGUAAUGGGUAAAGAAGCACCGGCUAACUACGUG